Molecule: ribosomal RNA, 459 nt
Filed under: uncultured bacterium
Lineage: Bacteria
Description: partial 16S ribosomal RNA
Rfam family: Bacterial small subunit ribosomal RNA
Source: RNAcentral
CUACGGGAGGCUGCAGUAAGGAAUAUUGGGCAAUGGACGGAAGUCUGACCCAGCCAUCCCGCGUGCAGGAAGAAUGCCCUAUGGGUUGUAAACUGCUUUUGUUUGGGAAGAAAUGUACUUUUUCAAGAGUAUUUGACGGUACCAGACGAAUAAGCACCGGCUAACUCCGUGCCAGCAGCCGCGGUAAUACGGAGGGUGCAAGCGUUAUCCGGAAUCACUGGGUUUAAAGGGUGCGUAGGCGGCCAGAUAAGUCAGAGGUGAAAGUUUCCGGCUCAACCGGGAGAUUGCCUUUGAUACUGUUUGGCUUGAGUCAGAUUGAGGUUGGCGGAAUGUGACAUGUAGCGGUGAAAUGCAUAGAUAUGUCAUAGAACAUCGAUUGCGAAGGCAGCUGGCUGGAUCUGUAUUGACGCUGAGGCACGAAAGCGUGGGGAGCAAACAGGAUUAGAUACCCGAGUAGUC